UUGUUAUUGAGCACCGCCCCCUUUCUUUGCAGCUGAUCAGCUGAAUUCAUUGUUGACGCGCUGGAAUAGCAAAUCACUGCAAGCCGCAAACAUCUUGCUAAUUUUUCUAUCCGAGCCUUGGAAAAUGUUUAGAUUUCUGCUAACGUUCGGGGCAGGAGUCUACGCUGGAGUAUAUAUUAGUCAAAACUACGAGAUUCCAAGAGUUGACGAACCAUCAAAGUUGUGGGAAAAAGUUAAAGGUUGGGCAGAUCAGCAUAAAAAGGAUAAAUAGAUAAGCAAGCAAUUCAAGAUGCCAGAAGAAGAUUGCACAUUGCACUUGUUAGGAAACAAAGAAGCGAACUGAAGAUAAAUUAUUUUAAAUAUUAAAAUGCCAUUAAAUUUUGUUAACUUUAAAGCACUUGUAUGCAACCGUCGCAAUAAUUAUGAUAAUUAAAAAACGUACUUGCUAACAAAGUUGUAA
Long non-coding RNA from Cloeon dipterum, 460 nucleotides. RefSeq lists it as uncharacterized. The record is from RefSeq and is a predicted model, not a curated record. The transcript has 4 exons. Lineage: Eukaryota; Metazoa; Arthropoda; Insecta; Ephemeroptera; Baetidae.